GCUGGGCAGGGUGGUGCACACCUAGGGUCCCAGCUACUUGGGAGGAUGAGGCAGGACGAUCACUUGAGCCCAGGAGUGGAGGACAAACCUGGGCAAUGUAGUGAGAUCCUGUCUCCA
This 117-nucleotide small RNA is filed under the name Marmota monax (woodchuck). The record is from RNAcentral. Lineage: Eukaryota; Metazoa; Chordata; Mammalia; Rodentia; Sciuridae.